Molecule: unclassified non-coding RNA, 302 nt
Filed under: uncultured Phialemoniopsis
Lineage: Eukaryota; Fungi; Ascomycota; Sordariomycetes; Xylariales
Description: sequence contains ITS1
Rfam family: 5.8S ribosomal RNA (bases 1-105)
Source: RNAcentral
GAAAUGCGAUAAGUAAUGUGAAUUGCAGAAUUCAGUGAAUCAUCGAAUCUUUGAACGCACAUUGCGCCCAUUAGUAUUCUAGUGGGCAUGCCUGUUCGAGCGUCAUUUCAACCCUCAAGCACUGCUUGGUGUUGGGGCGUCUGCAGCUCCGGCUGCAGGCCCUGAAAAACAGUGGCGGGCUCGCUAUAACUCCGAGCGUAGUAAUAUAUCCUCGCUUUGGAAGUGUAGCGGUUCCCGGCCGUUAAACCCCCCAAUUUCUGAAUGUUGACCUCGGAUCAGGUAGGAAUACCCGCUGAACUUAA